This 2626-nucleotide long non-coding RNA is filed under the name Elaeis guineensis (African oil palm). RNAcentral's name for it is "long non-coding RNA (EGUI_LNC006767)". The record is from RNAcentral. Lineage: Eukaryota; Viridiplantae; Streptophyta; Magnoliopsida; Arecales; Arecaceae.
GCCUCAUUCUACACUCCUAUAGCAGAGAUAAUGUUCAAGGAAAGCUAUUGCCUCUUUCGAUGAUCUUCUCAAAGAAUGCUUAUAUGCUGUAAAUUCUUUUCCAUCACAAUGACAUUCUAAUGAGUUGCUGAAGAUUUCUGGAAAAGGUUUUGGGAAACACAAAUAAAAGAAUGACAGACAGUUAACUCACUAUGCAUCAAUUAGCGUUUAAUAGCGAACAAUAUUCGCAUUUGAUGUAACCGCUAUACCCCUGUGGUGGGAACAGAAUACCCCUCAAUACCCUUCUGGUGGGGCCAGAAUGACUCAGGUUCUAGAAGAGUUAUGGAUGCUGAUGUAUAAUCUCUAUUGAUAGAGCCCAUAACAUAAUCAGACAGAGAGUCAAAGGCAUAUACAUCUAAUUCAAAAUAGUAUUUUCAAAUAUUUACAACUUUAGAAUCAUCUAAGCAUUUUCAAAAUAAAAUUCUUCCAAUUGUUUGCUAUGUGUAAUUUACAACAAUAUUCCAAACAUAUCACCUGAUUUAAAAAAAAUGCUUUUCGACAAAUAGAAUUUUACCUGCUUGAUCCAACAAUCUGGAUUUAUAAGAUAUGAUUUAAUGCGUACUAAUCAUCAGUUUGGGAUUAUUUACAACAUAUGCUUAAUGACAAGAAAUUCAAGAACUGAAUUCAUAUAUUUGAAAAGAUUUUCUUAUGCAAUAAAAUUUGAAAUUAUGAUAAAAAAACUUGCACAUUAUGUGGCAUAAGAUUUUUUCUAAAUAUUCAGUAAAAUAUUUUGAAAUGUAGAAUGUUACUUAUCUCACGAUAUUAAUAAUUAAUUAGAUUAACUACUUCACGGGGAUCCCUUCAGAACCUAACAACCCAAAAUCACAGUUAUAUCAAAAUGUAUAGUGCCACAUUAGUAUUUGAGGAUAAUUCCCAAAAAAUUCUGAAAACUCUCAUUCACUCUUACUAGUUUAUUUUAAACUUUUAGGAGAUUUUAAAAGCUACAAAGGAUCAAUCAUAAUCCCCCAAUUAUGGUCUAACAAAGACUACAAUCUGUAUAGAUUAACCCAACAAAAAAUUUAUUAUCAAAGUAUAAUAGUAAUUAUUUUAUUUUAUUCAUCUCCAAAGGCUACACCAAAUAAUACAAUGUUGAUUCAGGUAAGAUUCUCGAGGUUUGAAAAUUUUACAGGCAUUGUAUAUAUCAUCUACCCCUCAUCGAUGCAUCCAGUGAUAAUACAACCUAAGUUUAAGAUUUCACUAUCUAUUUUAAACUAAUGCUAUUGAAUUCAGAAAUUUAAAGAAUGAGGAUUUUAUCCCCAAUCAUAUGCCCUACAGCUUACAGACGGUUUACUGACUCAGAACAAUAGCUGGCAAAGAGGUGAGGAGUGAAACAUACAAAAGGACAAUAUGUCAAGAAGAGAGAAAGUGUGUGUGUGGAAGAGGGAGAGAGAGCAUAUGGGUGAGAGAGAGGGAAGGUUAUUGAGGGAGGGAGGAAGAGGGAGACAGGGAAAUAAGGCGGUGCGGCAGUGGUGGGAGGGGGCAAAACUAUGCGAUGUUUGGAGGGAAAUAGGGGUACAGUCCACUUUUUUACCAUGAAAGCACUCCACAAGCGGUGCCUAAUGCUGAAACCCACCCUGGACCAUGUCCUCGUCAUGAAAAAGAUAUUAAUUUUAUGAUAGAAAAAUCAGUUUUUGGUACUUUAAAUAAAGUUUAUAAAAUUUAAGAUACAAAUGGUUACAAGUCAUUAUUAUUGCCUCCCCUUGGUAGAAAUCUUGACUCCCCUAUAUUUUUCUUUUCCCCGGAGAGAAACAACUUGAUCAAGGCAAAACUACAACUAUAGAGAUAUGUGAUAUGUUAUAUUAUAUUUCAAUCGUUAUUCGUAAUUUUUAGAAACAAAUCAUGUUUUCAAUUAAAUAUUGAUGCAUUCUAGAUAAAGAUUAUAAAACUUAACUACUAGGUUGAAUCUGAGAAUGAAGCUUUUUUACUGGCAUAGAUGAGAAAUCCAUGAAGGACUCCAAGCUCACACAUAUCCUCAACACAAGCAGAUCAGGCUUUGUUCCAAAAUAGAAUUUGUCCCAUCUUGAUCACAACAUGACCAAAGCUUAAGAAGGGCCUGUAUCAUGUGAGCUUGUCUGCAUCGUGAAGAGCGAAGUGUGUUUAACAAAGGGAACCACCAAUCAAUAAUUCCGAGACUUUGCUAUGUCGAAAUCUAUUCAAAAAAAAAAAGGUGAUUUCUCAUAUUUCAAUUAUAAGAUUGAAAUUACCAUUAGGAUCCACCAUCAUCUUUGCGUCUACAUUGCAUUACGAUUGCUCUAUCAAUAGCAGUGUGACUUUUCCUUCUGGUAAGUUGACAAAUAAAAAUACUGCGCGAUCAUCAUUAUGAAGAUAGCAAUGGACAGGUGAGUACUUUCAAACUUGCAGAUUUUUUAUAGCCUCUCUUAGUCUUCGAACCUGUCACUUGGCUGUCGCUUUUCCUUGUGCCAUGCAACAAACAACAGAAGCCUUUCCUUUCCACGGUAAUGUACAGAUGGCAGCAGGAGGAUUAGGAAUGAACGUCUGGUUGUUAAUUGACUUUGAGGAGGCCGGCAACAACUGAAUGAGAAGAGCUCAAGAAGACGAGCGAAAAAAAAGAAGCAUUAAAACCCCC